UACGUAGGGGGCGAGCGUUACCCGGAUUUACUGGGCGUAAAGCGCGUGUAGGCGGCUUGUUAAGUCGGGUGUGAAAGCCCUCAGCUCAACUGAGGAAGGGCGCCCGAAACUGGCGAGCUUGAGUGUCGGAGAGGAUGGCGGAAUACCCCAAGUAGAGGUGAAAUUCGUAGAUAUGGGGUGGAACACCGGUGGCGAAGGCGGCCAUCUGGACGACAACUGACGCUGAGACGCGAAAGCGUGGGGAGCAAACAGG
RNAcentral lists this ribosomal RNA (253 nucleotides) under uncultured bacterium. RNAcentral describes it as "partial 16S ribosomal RNA". It matches the Rfam family "Bacterial small subunit ribosomal RNA", at positions 524 to 776 of the family's 1533-position model. The record is from RNAcentral.